This 484-nucleotide ribosomal RNA is filed under the name uncultured bacterium. Its description in RNAcentral is "partial 16S ribosomal RNA". It matches the Rfam family "Bacterial small subunit ribosomal RNA", at positions 29 to 523 of the family's 1533-position model. The record is from RNAcentral.
AGUGAACGCUGGCGGCGUGCUUAACACAUGCAAGUCGAACGAGAACGGAUUAUAGCUUGCUAUAAUUGUCAGCUAAGUGGCGCACGGGUGAGUAAUGUAUAGGUAAUAUGCCUCUUACUCAGGGAUAACACAUGGAAACGUUUGCUAAUACCUAAUACUCUCUCUUAAAAUAAGUUAAUAAGGGAAAGAUUUAUUGGUAAGAGAUUAGCCUGUAUUGUAUCAGUUAGUUGGUGGGGUAAUGGCUUACCAAUACUAUGACACAUAACUGGUUUGAGAGUAUGUUCAGUCACGCUGGGACUGAGACACGGUGCAGACUCCUACGGGAGGCAGCAGUGGGGAAUAUUGCACAAUGGACGAAAGUCUGAUGCAGCAACGCCGCGUGGAGGAUGACACAUUUCGGUGCGUAAACUCCUUUUAUAUGAGAAGAUAAUGACGGUAUUAUAUGAAUAAGCACCGGCUAACUCCGUGCAAGCAGCCGCCGUAA